GCCUUCGUGGUAUAGUGGUCAGCACGCUCGGCGCGUAUUCGAGAGGUCCAUGGUUCGAGUCCCGGCGAAGGCG
RNAcentral lists this transfer RNA (73 nucleotides) under Stegodyphus mimosarum. It matches the Rfam family "tRNA". Rfam says of the family: Transfer RNA (tRNA) molecules are approximately 80 nucleotides in length. Their secondary structure includes four short double-helical elements and three loops (D, anti-codon, and T loops). The record is from Rfam by way of RNAcentral. Lineage: Eukaryota; Metazoa; Arthropoda; Arachnida; Araneae; Eresidae.